This 369-nucleotide unclassified non-coding RNA is filed under the name Hevea brasiliensis (rubber tree). Lineage: Eukaryota; Viridiplantae; Streptophyta; Magnoliopsida; Malpighiales; Euphorbiaceae. The record is from RNAcentral.
GUGAAGUUCAUCCCCGUUCGUCGGCCUCGCUUGCCAAUCAUGACGCAGUUCCUGCCCUUUGCCAAAGACUAAUGGCCAUUGAGUUUUUGGAUGUGGCUGAACAGUGUUUGCAAGCACUAGAGAAAAUCUCGCGGGAGCAACCUAUAGUGUGUUUGCAGUCUGGGGCUAUAAUGGCCAUUUUACGUUACAUUGAUUUCUUUUCGACAAGUGAGCAGAGGAAGGCACUGUUGACAGUCGUAAAUAUUUGUAAAAAGCUUCCCUCCGGAUGUCCUCCACCUUUAAUGGAGGCGGUUCCCGUUUUGUGCGAUCUUCUUCUAUAUGAGGAUAGACAGCUUGUUGAGAGCGUAGCAACUUGUUUGAUUAGAAUAG